This is a long non-coding RNA of Oreochromis aureus, 1019 nucleotides long. RefSeq lists it as uncharacterized. NCBI's taxonomy places the organism in Eukaryota, Metazoa, Chordata, Actinopteri, Cichliformes, Cichlidae. The transcript is spliced from 3 exons. The record is from RefSeq and is a predicted model, not a curated record.
CUGAUCGUCACCAAACUGGAAUGAAGCAAUCAUAACUGUAGUCAGCCGUAUAAGAACUGUGUCUCUCUGACACAGACCUGCAUCACUCACAGCCACUGAGACAGUCAAGAUGAAGUUGCUGCUUGUUGUUGCUGCUGUUCUGGCUGUAUCCAGCAGUGCCAGCAUCUCUCUGGACGAUCUGGACUUUCAUACCUGGAAACCCAGGUUUGAGAAUUGAGCCAACUGACUCAUUAAUCCCUGGCUUCACCUUAGGAGCUCUGUUUUUAAGGAGACCUGUUUUUGUUUCACUUUUUGUUGUUUUACUUUUUUAUUCCUUUUUGGAAUAAAUGUAGCCAGGUGGAAGAUCAAUAUUAUGGGACAUACCACUGGAGGGCGCUGUUUCUUUUGGGGUACCUCUUGGAGCGCAAGGGAUGAUGGGGAUCGGAGACAUUCACAGAAGUGCUAGCUUGCAUUGGUGUUAUGUCGGUGUGCAAUGCCGUUUUUCGCUGCGUGGUCUGUUUUAAAUGCAAAGUGUGGAACAGUUAAGACACCAGGAGUUGCUGCAACCAACUUCACCGUUCAUCUCAGAGGGAUCUGUAUUCCGUUUUCUGCUGGAUUAAUGCACUGUAUGUAUUUGAGUUCACACUCGUAUUAUAAUAUCUCUGUGGGUAAGAGAGAAAAUGUACCUUGUUAACUGUUUAAUCUUGGCUCUGUGUCUUAGCAGGAGAAGCCACUACAGUUAUUUUUGCACUGCUAAGUUUGUUGUAUUUCUGUAUGGGUUUAUGUCAGUCACAAAUUGACGCUAGACAUCCCUGAGUUCCAGACGCUGAUAAAGUUGGGGAAAUAACCUGCAGUAGCAGUAGGUUACCAGUGCACAAAGCUGUUACUGGAUAAGAACUGUCUGUAACAAUUUUAUUUCUUUAUUUUUACAACCUUUUUUUAUUUUCUUCUGAGCACUUACUUUAUCAUUCAGAUUAAAAGAACCCCAAAGAUAAUCUGUGUUCUGGGCUGGUUAAUUUAGCCAGGCUACAUAAAAGUUA